UACAGAGGGGGCAAGCGUUGUUCGGAAUUACUGGGCGUAAAGGGCGCGUAGGUGGCCUUCUAAGUUGAACGUGAAAUCCCUGGGCUCAACCCAGGAACUGCGUCCAAGACUGGGAGGCUUGAAUCCGGGAGAGGGAUGCGGAAUUCCAGGUGUAGCGGUGAAAUGCGUAGAUAUCUGGAGGAACACCGGUGGCGAAGGCGGCAUCCUGGACCGGUAUUGACACUGAGGCGCGAAAGCCAGGGAGCAAACGGG
Molecule: ribosomal RNA, 252 nt
Filed under: uncultured bacterium
Lineage: Bacteria
Description: partial 16S ribosomal RNA
Rfam family: Bacterial small subunit ribosomal RNA
Source: RNAcentral